CUCCUUCCUCACUAGCAGCCUUUGGUACAUCAGUUGGUGGUGGUUGUUGCAUGUGGUCCUUACCCCUUUUCUCAGGUUCCAUCGGGACAAUCACUGGACUAACUUGAGGUUCUGAGUUGUUAUCAACCUUCUCAGUUGGUGUUGGUAGCACGAGAACUUCAGAUGGUUGUGGAUCUACUGAUGCAUGAGGCAAUGAAACAGUUUCUUCAGUAGAUUGGGAAAACAGUGUCGCUUGCAUAAAUUGGCACCAGAACUUUCUUAGGUCGGCCUCUCCCUCUCGCCAUUG
Molecule: long non-coding RNA, 286 nt
Filed under: Nicotiana benthamiana
Lineage: Eukaryota; Viridiplantae; Streptophyta; Magnoliopsida; Solanales; Solanaceae
Description: long non-coding RNA (NBEN_LNC033615)
Source: RNAcentral